CAGCACCUCAAGUGGUCAGGAUGAUUAUUGGGCCUAAAGCAUCCGUAGCCGGCGCUGUAAGUUUUCGGUUAAAUCUGUACGCUCAACGUACAGGCUGCCGGGAAUACUGCAGCGCUAGGGAGUGGGAGAGGUAGACGGUACUCGGUAGGAAGGGGUAAAAUCCUUUGAUCUAUUGAUGACCACCUGUGGCGAAGGCGGUCUACCAGAACACGUCCGACGGUGAGGUAUGAAAGCUGGGGGAGCAAACCGGAUUAGAUACCCGAGUAGUCC
RNAcentral lists this ribosomal RNA (270 nucleotides) under uncultured archaeon. RNAcentral describes it as "partial 16S ribosomal RNA". It matches the Rfam family "Archaeal small subunit ribosomal RNA", at positions 477 to 747 of the family's 1478-position model. The record is from RNAcentral.